AGCGAACGCUGGCGGCAGGCUUAACACAUGCAAGUCGAGCGGGCACUUUCGGGUGUCAGCGGCGGACGGGUGAGUAACGCGUGGGAACGUGCCCUCUGGUUCGGAAUAACUCAGGGAAACUUGAGCUAAUACCGGAUACGCCCUUUUGGGGAAAGGCUUGCUGCCGGAGGAUCGGCCCGCGUCUGAUUAGCUAGUUGGUGAGGUAACGGCUCACCAAGGCGACGAUCAGUAGCUGGUCUGAGAGGACGAUCAGCCACACUGGGACUGAGACACGGCCCAGACUCCUACGGGAGGCAGCAGUGGGGAAUAUUGGACAAUGGGCGCAAGCCUGAUCCAGCCAUGCCGCGUGAGUGAUCAAGGCCUUAGGGUUGUAAAGCUCUUUUAUCCGGGACGAUAAUGACGGUACCGGAGGAAUAAGCCCCGGCUAACUUCGUG
RNAcentral lists this ribosomal RNA (435 nucleotides) under uncultured bacterium. RNAcentral describes it as "partial 16S ribosomal RNA". It matches the Rfam family "Bacterial small subunit ribosomal RNA", at positions 29 to 507 of the family's 1533-position model. The record is from RNAcentral.